This 990-nucleotide long non-coding RNA is filed under the name Olea europaea subsp. europaea. Lineage: Eukaryota; Viridiplantae; Streptophyta; Magnoliopsida; Lamiales; Oleaceae. The record is from RNAcentral.
UCUCCAUCGUUCACAAAUAACAAAUGUCAUAAAUCACAACUCAAAUUUUUAGAUUACAUUAUUUAUUGGUACAAUUUAUGGUCACGUGUUAUUUUUUGUCAUAGGAUAUCCUGAUCAUUGGUUAUAAUCCCAAAUAAUUGGUCACAAACCCUCUUAAUCCCACUACCUACCCCACCCAACCCCAAUCCACUGUGGCACCGUCACCACCACUACCUUCAGGGACUACCAUUUUCAACUUCAAAAUCAUCACUACCACUUCACCACCCCAACCACUGCCACAAACAAGAUCCAACAAAAUCGUCGUCGCUCCAGCCUAAAAAACCAACAAAUCAAAUCCACAACAAAAGUUACACCACUACCACUACCAACACCAACACCAACAACCACCAUUGACACUGACGCCACAUAGUGAUGACCACUACCAACAGCAAACAAAAUGAACAAAAACCACCAAAAAAAAUAAUCAACACAGCCACAACCUUACGAAAAUCACCACAACCUCACAAUGUUACUAAUGCGGCACAAAUUUUCCCCGAUCUUGUCGUUCGCCGCUGAAGCAGAUCUUGAGAUUUCCCUAGAUCCCAACAUCAUCGAGCUAUGGGUCAUUGCGUGGCCUCUGACAAUCCAUCAUUUUCCCACAAAUUUCUCCAAAUCUCGACAUCAUGAAAGCUUUGAGUCGUUGGUCCCUAUAGCUGCACAGCGAUUUAUUUCUAUAUUCCCCAUCUCCUCUAUUUCUCUAAAUUUGUUUGGUGUUGUAUUGAUGGUUGAAGUGAAGAUGGUGGAUUUUUCGUAAUAAUGUUGUCGAUGGAUGCAACGUUGGGAUUGGGGGUUUGGGAAUUUUUUUGAUGGGUGUAGUGGUUGAGUGUGGUGAUAACAUGGUGGUGCUAGGGAGGUGGCAGUAGAAAGGGACGGUUAGAAAAGAAAAGAGAAUGUGGGAUAGAGAGAGGAGAGAAAUGAAAGGGCAAAAAUGAUUAGGGUUUUGCCGUUUUG